UCCCUGGCAGUCUAGUGCUUAAAACCCUGCACUUCUAAUGCAGGGAACAGGGGUUCGAUCCCUGGUCAGGGAA
This 73-nucleotide transfer RNA is filed under the name Bos taurus (domestic cattle). It matches the Rfam family "tRNA". Rfam says of the family: Transfer RNA (tRNA) molecules are approximately 80 nucleotides in length. Their secondary structure includes four short double-helical elements and three loops (D, anti-codon, and T loops). Lineage: Eukaryota; Metazoa; Chordata; Mammalia; Artiodactyla; Bovidae. The record is from Rfam by way of RNAcentral. RNAcentral also lists the same sequence under 2 other names.